This 453-nucleotide ribosomal RNA is filed under the name uncultured bacterium. RNAcentral's name for it is "bacterial SSU rRNA". It matches the Rfam family "Bacterial small subunit ribosomal RNA", at positions 347 to 793 of the family's 1533-position model. The record is from RNAcentral.
GGCAGCAGUGGGGAAUAUUGCACAAUGGGCGCAAGCCUGAUGCAGCCAUGCCGCGUGUAUGAAGAAGGCCUUCGGGUUGUAAAGUACUUUCAGCAGUGAGGAAGGUGGGUAUGUUAAUAGCAUACUCAUUUGACGUUAGCUGCAGAAGAAGCACCGGCUAACUCCGUGCCAGCAGCCGCGGUAAUACGGAGGGUGCGAGCGUUAAUCGGAAUUACUGGGCGUAAAGCGCAUGCAGGUGGUUUGUUAAGUCAGAUGUGAAAGCCCGGGGCUCAACCUCGGAAUUGCAUUUGAAACUGGCAAACUAGAGUACUGUAGAGGGGGUAGAAUUUCAGGUGUAGCGGUGAAAUGCGUAGAGAUCUGAAGGAAUACCGGUGGCGAAGGCGGCCCCCUGGACAGAUACUGACACUCAGAUGCGAAAGCGUGGGGAGCAAACAGGAUUAGAUACCCCGGUAG